This 879-nucleotide ribosomal RNA is filed under the name uncultured Alphaproteobacteria bacterium. RNAcentral's name for it is "bacterial SSU rRNA". It matches the Rfam family "Bacterial small subunit ribosomal RNA", at positions 9 to 928 of the family's 1533-position model. The record is from RNAcentral. Lineage: Bacteria; Pseudomonadati; Pseudomonadota; Alphaproteobacteria.
GAGUUUGAUUCUGGCUCAGAACGAACGCUGGCGGCAGGCCUAAGACAUGCAAGUCGUACGAGAAAGCCCUUUCGGGGGUGAGUAGAGUGGCGAACGGGUUAGUAACGCGUGGGAACAUACACAGCACAGGGGGAUAACCAUUGGAAACGAUGGCUAAUACCGCAUACGCCCUAUGGGGGAAAGAUUUAUCGGUGUUGGAUUGGCCCGCGUUAGAUUAGCUAGUUGGUGGGGUAAUUGCCUACCAAGGCGACGAUUUAUAGCUGGUUUGAGAGGAUGAUCAGCAACACUGGAACUGAGACACGGUCCAGACUCCUACGGGAGGCAGCAGUCGGGAAUAUUGUGCAAUGGGGGCAACCCUGACACAGCCAUGCCGCGUGAGUGAAGAAGGCCUUAGGGUUGUAAAGCUCUUUCAGAUGUGAGGAUGAUGACGAUAGCAUCACAAGAAGCUCCGGCUAACUUCGUGCCAGCAGCCGCGGUAAUACGAAGGGAGCAAGCGUUGUUCGGAAUUACUGGGCGUAAAGGGCGUGUAGGCGGAUUAUCAAGUUAGGGGUGAAAUCCCGGGGCUCAACCUCGGCACUGCCUUUAAGACUGAUAAUCUAGAGUAUGUGAGGGGAUAAUGGAAUACCUAGUGUAGAGGUGAAAUUCGUAGAUAUUAGGUGGAACACCAGUGGCGAAGGCGAUUAUCUGGCACAUUACUGACGCUGAGGCGCGAAAGCGUGGGGAGCAAACGGGAUUAGAUACCCCGGUAGUCCACGCCGUAAACGAUGUAUACUAGUUGUCGGGCAUUGGUUCGGUGACGCAGCUAACGCAUUAAGUAUACCGCCUGGGGAGUACGGUCGCAAGAUUAAAACUCAAAGAAAUUGACGGGGACCCGCACAA